CGCCUGUUUACCAAAAACAUGGCUUCGUGUAAAAGCUAAAUACGAAGUCGGACCUGCCCAGUGAAAUUUUAAACGGCCGCGGUACUCGACCGUGCAAAGGUAGCAUAAUCAUUUGCCUUAUAAUUGAAGGCUGGAAUGAAUGGUUUGACAAGAAUACAGCUGUCUCUUUUAGGUUGUUUAGAAUUUUAUUUUUGGAUGAAAAAGUCCAAAUAUUAUUAAAAGACAAGAAGACCCUAUCGAGCUUUAGAGAAAUUAAUAGAUUUAAUAUAAAUUAAUAUAAGUAAAAGACAUAGCUAUUAAAUACUUUGGUUGGGGCAACCGAGGAGUAAAUAAAGCCUCCUUUAUUUCGUGAGUCUUACUUGUGUUGAUCCAGAAAUUUUGAUCAAAGAAAUUAGUUACCGUAGGGAUAACAGCAUUAUCUUUUUUGAGAGCUCAUAUCGAAAAAAAGGUUUGUGACCUCGAUGUUGGACCAGAAUAUCCUAAAGAUGCAGAAGUCUUUAAGGGUUGGUCUGUUCGACCAUUAAAAUUCUACGUGAUCUGAGUUCAGACCGGGG
Molecule: ribosomal RNA, 554 nt
Filed under: Conus consors
Lineage: Eukaryota; Metazoa; Mollusca; Gastropoda; Neogastropoda; Conidae
Description: partial 16S ribosomal RNA
Rfam family: Bacterial large subunit ribosomal RNA
Source: RNAcentral